CUUUAUUUUAAGGGGCCGCAAACAUGUAAGUAUAUUGUUAAGUUCUUUCCAUUAAUAUUUUUUUUACUUUCACAUUUAAGAUAUAUCAUAAGGUUAUACCCUUUUUGUGGUAAGUCUGCACAAGAUCAGAACGCUUGUUUGGUAUGUU
This is a long non-coding RNA of Sinocyclocheilus rhinocerous, 148 nucleotides long. RefSeq lists it as uncharacterized. The record is from RefSeq and is a predicted model, not a curated record. NCBI's taxonomy places the organism in Eukaryota, Metazoa, Chordata, Actinopteri, Cypriniformes, Cyprinidae. The transcript is spliced from 3 exons.